RNAcentral lists this ribosomal RNA (379 nucleotides) under uncultured cyanobacterium. RNAcentral describes it as "bacterial SSU rRNA". It matches the Rfam family "Bacterial small subunit ribosomal RNA", at positions 376 to 770 of the family's 1533-position model. The record is from RNAcentral. Lineage: Bacteria; Bacillati; Cyanobacteriota.
CGAAAGCCUGACGGAGCAAUACCGCGUGAGGGAGGAAGGCUUUUGGGUUGUAAACCUCUUUUCUCAAGGAAGAAGACCUGACGGUACUUGAGGAAUAAGCCACGGCUAAUUCCGUGCCAGCAGCCGCGGUAAUACGGGAGUGGCAAGCGUUAUCCGGAAUUAUUGGGCGUAAAGCGUCCGCAGGCGGCCGAUCAAGUCUGCUGUUAAAGCGUGGAGCUUAACUCCAUAAUGGCAGUGGAAACUGAUUGGCUGGAGUGUGGUAGGGGCAGAGGGAAUUCCCGGUGUAGCGGUGAAAUGCGUGGAUAUCGGGAAGAACACCAGUGGCGAAGGCGCUCUGCUGGGCCGUAACUGACACUCAGGGACGAAAGCUAGGGUAGCG